UAAACACACACUUGACCCCGGAAUCAGUCUGAAUGAUUGGAGAAGGUCGAACAGUCAGUCACAGGCUGAAGUCCAUGCCUACAAGGUGUUUGUGAUUAUUAAAUAAAUGAAGCAUUUGUAAGAAAAUGUGCCACCAGACUAAAUAGACCUGGGAACAAUAUAACAGAACGCUGUUAAGCACACAAUUCUUUUGGUGGGAGAAGUUCAUGACCAUAAUUGAGAGUAACCUACUAAUCGCUAAUUUUCAGUCUGCCUUGGGCACUUUGGUCAAUAUAUUUCAUGGAUGAAAAGGAGACAUUGGCUAGUGCAUUGUGUUUAUUAAACAGAGAUAUCUGAAGAAAACAAUUCCAAAUGUAUACCAAGCUGCCAUAACUACAUAAUCCUUUUUAAAAAUAUACACAUGCAUAUAUAGACACACUUACAUUUAUAUAUAUGCACACUAAUGCAUGUAGAAAGAUAGACAAAUACAUAGAUGCAUAGAAAAUUAGAAAGAAAGGCCACACACUUUAUCUAUAGGUAUAUAGUAUGUGGAGCUGGCUCAUAUUGGCUUACAAAAGCAAUUUUUCUCAAAUCCACAUUAGGUCUCAUCAUGUUAGUGGCGUCAUAUGAGCCAUAGUGGGGAUAUUUACCCUAUGAAAUUGGUAAAUACUAUAAAUAUGGGCUUGGGGGAGAUUCACUGUAGGGGAAAAGCCAGUUCUGAAACUUUUACCAGCACACCACCUGUUAUGUGUAUGUGUAUACAGAUAUGCACAAACACACACUCUCAACUAUUUUAGAACUCUUGCAAUAUAGGGAUGCCUAGGUGGCUCAGUUGGUUAAGUGUGUGCCUUUGCCUCAGGUCAUGAUCCCAAGGUCCUGGGCUCAAGCCCACCACAGGAUCCCUGCUCUGUGGGGAGCCGCUUCUCCCUCUGCCUCUGCCCCAUCCCCUGCUCCUGCAUUCUUGCUCGCUUGCUCUCUCUUUCU
Long non-coding RNA from Mustela lutreola (European mink), 963 nucleotides. RefSeq lists it as uncharacterized. Lineage: Eukaryota; Metazoa; Chordata; Mammalia; Carnivora; Mustelidae. The transcript has 2 exons. The record is from RefSeq and is a predicted model, not a curated record.